Molecule: ribosomal RNA, 398 nt
Filed under: uncultured bacterium
Lineage: Bacteria
Description: partial 16S ribosomal RNA
Rfam family: Bacterial small subunit ribosomal RNA
Source: RNAcentral
CUACGUAGGGUGCGAGCGUUGUCCGGAAUUACUGGGCGUAAAGAGCUCGUAGGUGGUUUGUCGCGUCGUCUGUGAAAUUCCGGGGCUUAACUCCGGGCGUGCAGGCGAUACGGGCAUAACUUGAGUACUGUAGGGGAGACUGGAAUUCCUGGUGUAGCGGUGAAAUGCGCAGAUAUCAGGAGGAACACCGGUGGCGAAGGCGGGUCUCUGGGCAGUAACUGACGCUGAGGAGCGAAAGCAUGGGUAGCGAACAGGAUUAGAUACCCUGGUAGUCCAUGCCGUAAACGGUGGGCGCUAGGUGUAGGGGUCUUCCACGACUUCUGUGCCGUAGCUAACGCAUUAAGCGCCCCGCCUGGGGAGUACGGCCGCAAGGCUAAAACUUAAAGGAAUUGACGGGG